RNAcentral lists this long non-coding RNA (12629 nucleotides) under Vitis vinifera (wine grape). RNAcentral describes it as "long non-coding RNA (VVIN_LNC000923)". The record is from RNAcentral. Lineage: Eukaryota; Viridiplantae; Streptophyta; Magnoliopsida; Vitales; Vitaceae.
CUCAUACUCUUCCCAAGUAUGUUUGGGGAACCAAUCCAUGCUCUCAUUAGAACCAACUUUGGCAUUCCUCCUCCUCCCAACUAUCUCAAACAACAGCAUCCCAAAGCUAUAAACAUCACACUUAUGGGUUAUGGGAUGGUUUUUCAGUAAAAAUUCUGGUGCUGAGUAGCCUGGAGUCCCUCUAUAUCCUGAGACUGUCAGGUGGGUGCCGUCCCUGUUACAAAGCUUAGCAAGCCCAAAGUCUGCAACCUUAGGAAAGAAGUUAGCAUCAAGAAGAAUGUUACCGGGUUUUAUGUCAUAGUGAAUGAUUCUUUCUACACAUUCUUCAUGUAAGUAAGCUAUGCCCUUUGCUGUCCCAACUGCUAUAUGAUGCAGCUUCUCCCACUCGACUUCUUGUGCCUCGCUGAACAAGUACUUGUCCAGGGAUCCAUUUUCCAGGUAUUCGUAGACAAGUGCGCUCAUGAACUGAUCAUAGCAGAAACCAUAGAGCCUGACUAGAUUGAUAUGGUAAGUCCUGCCUAUGGUUCCCACCUCUGCCAUGAACUGUUCUUCAGCUUGUCUGUCUGGACUCCUAUUCAGGACCUUCACUGCAAUCUUGACCCCAUUGGGGAACUGCCCCUUGUAAACCAUUCCAAACCCUCCAGAACCCAGUGUUGUGGUGUAGUUAUCAGUGAAGCUGCAUAGCUGCUGAGCAGUGAACCUGACCGGCUUCUCCCUCGCUAAUUCUUGGAAGAACUUCUCCAUUGUUGGUGUAUCAACCUCCCAAACCUGUAUCGUAUUCACAGGUGGGGGAGCCACUGCCGCUUGCAAUUCUGUCACAAUAGCCUUCUUCGCUUUCCUUGCACAAACGAGAGAGAUAACAGCGAUAAUUCCAAGCACCACCAAGCUCAAUAUUACGGCUGCAAGUCAUGGGAGUUUGAACCAGUAAGAUCCCAACUUCAAACUGUUGUCUGUCAAUAUCGAAUUCCUUCGUAUUAUUGUCGCAGAAAGAACUUACCUCCUGCUGUAAUCCCAGAGUUGUUGCUUGGAGGAGAGUAGUCAUAUGAAGACAUCUACAAAGGUAGCAAAAUGGACCAAGUUAGAUAGGACUAUACAAUUCUCUAUUCAGUCAAGUAUAGAUAUAGAUUUUGUUUACAAAUCUCGCUGGCACCUUGGCUAGGUGAGCAAUUAAUUAACCAAAAAUUUCUUCAUUAGUUCAAGGUUUUGUGCAGUGCAGGCGUAUCAUACAUGACCCUUUAACAUACUAAGAACAAUCAAGUUAGUGAACUCACCCUCUUCGGAAGAUCACUCCUUGCUUUUCACCACCAGAAAUUGCAGCACAGCUUCUCUUUGCUCUUUGCUUCCUCCCAUUGCCUUUGUAUAUAUAUAUAUAUAUAUACAUGUAUUUGAGGGAGGAAGUUUUGGGGAAAUUUCUGUCAUAGGCCUUCAACUUGGUAGUCAACAAGGGGAAGGGAAAGAUCUACGGAACCUCUCUCUUUCACUAUCAAAUUCAAAGUGAAGAAGGAAAGAAAUUUCUCAAAAAAUUAUUUUAAUGGUAUGGAUUAUUAUGCCUAUGAGGGGAAGUUUCGGAAAAAUUCCUGCCAUUGACCUUCACGGUUGCAUUCAAAGAAUCAAAAAAUAAGAUAGAUAAAGGCAAGGAGAGAGCUACACCACCUUCGGCAAUGACAUGGAUUGGUAUCACGAAAUUUUUUAGAAAAGUCACUGACAGGCUUAAUUGCAAGGAGAUAUGGGAACUAAAUACAAGAGAAAUAUAAAUUUGUAAAAAAAAUUAUUAAUAUUUUUAAAUAUAAAAAUAUCUUCAUAUAUUAUCAUUUCUUUUAUAUCUUAAAUACAAAAUAAAUUACAUUUUAGUAUGUUUUCAAAAUUUUCAUAUUAUUACUAAGUACAGAAAUUUAUAUUAUACAUGCAUUAUUUUAUUUAAAUUCAAUAAAUAUAUUAUUACUUAUUUUAUUAUUUGCAAAGUUUUUUUAACAUUUAUAUGAGUUUUGAUUAAUUUUCAUAUAUUUUUUGUAACAAUAUUUCCCAUAUAUCCGAAAUAUCUAUAAAAUUUGACUAUUAAUAUAUAUGAGAAAACCAAUUUUUCAUUCUUAUUAUUAGAACGCAUAUGUAUUUUCUAAUUUUAUCUUUUAUUAUUAUUUUAAAUUUUAAAUUAUUAACUCUUUACUUUUAAUUUUUAAUUCUUAAUCUUUAAUUUUUAACGUUUAAAAUUUUAAAUUUCUAUUUUAUCUCAUUUGGGUAUAGUUCCUAUUUUUUAUUUUUAAAAUCAAAGCAAUAAUAACCUAUAUAUAAAAAAAAGUAAAAACUCUUUUACAAAAAAUAUAUAUUUAUGUUAUAUCUUCAAGAAUUUCUUUUAAAAAUAAAAAUAAAAAUUUCAGAUAGUAAACAUUACUUGUUAACGUAAGCUUCUAAAAGUUAUAAUAUAAAAAUUAUUACUAUUUUCUAUUUUUAAAAAUUGAAACAUGAAGCAUUCAAACAUAUACUAAAUUUUUAAUUUUUUAAAUAUUUAAUAAUAAUAAUAAUAAUAAUAAUAAUAUUUAGUAAUAAAUACAUAUAGGUCUAUUGAUAUUUAAUAGGCCGGCCACUAACCACCCAACCUAUUGAAUGCUGAUUGGGAUAUAUAUAUAUAUAUAUAUAGGUCUUUGUUGACCGGGUAUUAGAAGAAGUGAUGAUAUCAAUGCGUUGGCUAAGUUUGGUAGAGGAAAUUUCCUUGUUAAAUGUGGUAUUUGAAAUGCCACUCCCACCUUUCUCUUUCACCGUCAAGUGGAGAAAGAAAGAAAAGAAAGGACUAACAAGAACUUAAUGGUAUUUGGCUAUUUGCAGGGAUUUAGCAUGGUCUUCCCAUGAGCUCUGCUCAUCCUCACUCCACCAAAUUAGUACGCAAACGCAUCAUCAAAACUUAGCUGAACUUAACGAUAUAUAAGCAUAUUGCCCUAAAACAUGAUCAACUUACAUGGUGUAUAGCUAACACAAAGGCAACUACAAUAAUAUUAUACUACAAAUUUUUUAACAAACUCUACUUCAAUUUUCUUCUCAUUUCAUAGUUGAAACUUGAACCUCUCUCCCUUGAGUGCUUCCAUAGUUAAGAACUAGCUACUUGUAUCUCAUACUUGGCCAUGAUUGGUGUGGUUUCCUUGUACCAAAUUGAAUUGGUUUCUUUACUUGUUGCAUAGCUUGAACUUGUACCGGUUUCAUUUGCCUGCUGUAACACGUUUAUACCUACUGAGUAUAGAUAAUGAAACGGUUUUGGUGGUGGCAUGACUUCUACUCCUCCCUCCAGCAUCUUUACCACAGCACUCAUCAGAGGCCUUGAGUCGGGUGAGUCCUGAACACACCAUAGAGCCACCAUAGACAUUCUCUCUGCUUUCUCCCUGUCCUUCUCUUCAAUUCCACAGGCCACAGUCAUUGCUGCUAAAUCCCCUUUCUCAUACUCUUCCCAAACAUGUUUGGGGAACCAAUCCAUGCUCUCAUUAGAACCAAUUUUGGCAUUCCUCCUCCUCCCAACUAUCUCAAACAACAGCAUCCCAAAGCUAUAAACAUCACAUUUAUGGGUUAUAGGAUGGUUUUUCAGUAAAAAUUCUGGGGCCGAAUAGCCUGGAGUCCCUCUAUAUCCUGAGACUGUCAGGUGGGUGUUGUCCCUGUUACAAAGCUUAGCAAGCCCGAAGUCUGCAACCUUAGGAAAGAAGUUAGCAUCAAGGAGAACGUUGCCAGGUUUUAUGUCAUAGUGAAUGAUUCUUUGUACACAUUCUUCAUGUAAGUAAGCUAUGCCCUUUGCUGUUCCAACUGCUAUAUGAUGCAGUUUCUCCCACUCGAUUUCUCGUGCCUCACUGAACAAGUACUUGUCCAGGGAUCCGUUUUCCAGGUAUUCGUAGACAAGUGCACUCAUGAACUGAUCAUGGCAGAACCCAUAGAGCCUGACUAGAUUCAUAUGGUAAGUUCUGCCUAUGGUUCCCACCUCUGCCAUGAACUGUUCUCCAGCUUGUCUGUCUGGACUCCUAUUCAGGACCUUCACUGCAAUCUUGACCCCAUUCAGGAACUGCCCUUUGUAAACCACUCCAAACCCUCCAGAACCUAGUGUUGUCGAGUAGUUAGCAGUGAAACUGCAUAGCUGUUGAGCAGUGAAUCUGACUGGCUUCUCUUUUGCUAUUUCUUGGAAGAACCUCUCCAUUGUUGGUGCAUCAACCUCCCUCGCCUGCAAUUCUUUCACAAUGGGCUUCCUUGCUUUCCUUGCACAAAGGAGAUAGAUAACAGCGAUUUUUCCUACUACCACCAAGCUCGAUACUAUGACUGCAAGUCAUGGGAAUUUGAAUCAAUAAGAUCCCAACUUCAAUCUGUUGUAUAUAUUUCUCACAGAAAGCACUUACCUGCUGCUGCAACCCCAGAGUUGUUGUCUGUCGGAGGAGAGAAGUCUGAAGACAUCUACAAAGGCAGCAAAUUGGACUAAGUUAGAUAGGACUAUACAAUUCGCUAUUCAGUUGAAGUAUUUAUGUCGAUUUUGGGUACAAAUCCCCUGGGCACCUUGGCUAAGUGAGUGGUUAAUUAACCGAAAUUUUCUUCAUUAGUUCAAAGUUUUGUGCAUUGCAGGCUUGUUAAUCAUUCAUGAACCUUCAACAUACUAAGAACAAUCAGGUUAGUGAACUCACCCUCUUUGGAAGAUCACUCCUUGCUUUUCACCACCAAUGCACCACAACUUCUCUUCGCUCUUUGCUUCCCCCCACUGCCUUGACCUGAAAAUUCACCAAAGUUUCUUCACUCCUGAAUCAUAAUUCUGCAAUGGGUGUGAAGGGAAGAAGUUUUUGGGAAAUUUCUGUGACAUCUCUGCCGACUAACUUGGUCAAAAUUCUAUGGUACCCAUGUGGUCGGUACCAAAGUUAGAUUUUUGACCGUUGAAUUUAAAUAUUUUAAUCAUGACCGUUGAUCUAGAUUGUACGAAAAGGGGAAAACUUGCGUGUAAUCAGUUUCUUGUUAAGUGUAUUGUUUAAAAUGAUGAUCUAAUGAUAAUUAAGUAAUGAUAUUUUAUAUUAUUAAAUAUAUAAUUUAUAAUAAAUAAAAAAUAAUAUAUUAUCUAAUUUCUUUUUUAUUUUUAUUUAAAAAUGUAUCUAAUAAUAAUUUUAGUUUUUUUAUCAAUAAUUUGAGUUUAUUUUGAAUUUAAAUUUUACUAUAUUAGAUAACUAAAAAAAAAAAAUCAAUUUCAAUAUAAAUCAAUUAAAAAUGGAUUUUAAUUUAAUGUAAUUCUCAUAAAUAAAUUAAAAUAUAUUUUUCAUUUAAAAUAUUUAUUUUUUAACAUGAAAGUACUAAGGAUAAAAAAAUCAAUUUAAAAAAGAUAAAUUUUACAAUAAAAUUAUUUAAUAACAAGAAUCUUUAUUUUAUAAAAUGGAUAAAUAUGAAAAAAAUGUUAUAAAAUUAUUAAAUGUGAAUGUUAAUAUUUUAUAAAUCAAUUAAAAUAGAUAUUUUAUAAUUUUAAUUUUCUUUUAUUAAGGAUUUAAUUUAAAAUAAAUAUUUUAAUUUAAAAAAAAUUAAAUUUAUUAUAAGGCUCAUUCAAUAAUAUAAAUAGUGUUUUAUAAAAUAAAAUAAAAAAGUUUAAAAUUGAAUAAAAAAUUAUAGAAAUUUAUAAUUCAUUGAUCAUAUUUUGUUAUAAGUUGUUGAUAAGUCUCUAUUGUUAAGUGUAUUUAGUAACUUUUAUAUAGAACUUCUACUUAGAUGAGUUAGUUGGGUUGAUCGUUAAUCUAAGUCCAACCUAACUCAACUUCAUUUUUUUUUUAAGUUUGGAUUAGUCAAAUUAAACCGAUGUUGAUUGAACUUUGACUAUAGACUAUUCAUGAGACUCAAUAUUUAGAUUGUCAUCGUAUUGGUGAAAAAAGAUUUCAUAAUGAAAUGAUUCUCAUUGCUUUCUCUCUAUCAUUGGUAAGUUGUACUCAUGUGUCAGUGUUGUUGGAUUGUGUGACGUAUUUGUCACCAUGGGUUGAUCAAACUUUGACCAUAGCCAAUUCAAAAGCGACACCAUAUAUUUUUAAUGAUGCUUAAUUUGAUAUAGAGUUGUUUGAGAUAUAUAAUGUGUUAUAUUAAAUGCAUCACCUUUGAGUUAUGGUGUCACAUCAUUGUAAAUGAUUAUGAAAGAUAUGGUUGUUUUUUGUUGAUUAGCCUGUUAAUAAAUAAGAUCAACUUGUGCAUAUUUUGUCCAUAAAUAUAAUAAUCAUAUCACAUUUAACUUAUAUUUUUGUAAUGCUUAUGGAUUAACCUGUAAUACAUUACAUCAUCUAGUAAUAUUUGCAUAUCAAAUGUUCACAAAACGAUAGUACAUCAAACCUACCAAAACUAAAAAAGAAAAGUGAAUGCACAUUAAAACAUGAUUUAGAAAUGUUAAGCAUCCCAACAUUCAUGUAUACCUGCAUUUCAUAUGCAUAAAACCGGUUAACCGUAAAAUGACACAAGAGUUGCAUCCAAAAACCCAAAAUUCUCAAUACCAAAUAAAGUAACGUUUAUAUCCUAUAAUGUAUGGCAUCAGAGUCACAUCUAAAAACCAAAAAUCUUGUUGCCUCUUUCUCUUUUCUUUUUAUUCUUCAUACUGUCCUCCCAAAAGUGUAUCCUGCAUUUCAUAGUUUAAUGAGUUUUAAAGCUCUUAUUGAAAAUAAAAAUUAAUUAAUGUUAUAAAAAAUAAAUAAAUAAAUCUAAGGACUGAUGUUUUCUUUUUUCUUUUUCCCAUUUUGAUAUCAAAAUAAUUCGUAAAGAAUAAGUAAUGUCAUACAAUACUAAUGGAAAAUUCAUAUGACAACUAAGGGACUCACCAUGCAUGAUCACGAUACAUCAACAUGAUUCAUAAUUAGUCAUAACAUAAAAAUAGUCAAUUGUCUUCUAAUUUCAUCAAAUUCUACUUAAGAAUAUGUUUUUUUUUAUCAUCAAACUGAAAUCAAAUGAGAAUAACAUUAAUAUCACAAUAAUUGGAAGAUGAAAUUAUGUACAAUUCAUUAAAUGAGUAAAACCUUUAAUACAAUAACUAUAGAAUCAACAAUUAUCUCUUUAAUGAAUCUCAUAACAAAGUAGUCACAUUUGAACUCAAAUAAAAAUAAUUCAAGAAAAUAAAAAAUAAAUCAAAACUACAAAAUCAAAAUAUAAAUCUAAAAUUUUAGAAAAUACUAAUCUUCCACUUAAAAUCUGCACUUUUUAAAUUUAUUUUUUAUAAUUCAUUAUGUUUUUAAAAAUCAUUUUUAACAUUUAAUUCUUUUUAUAUAUAUAUAUUUUUUAUUUCUUGGAAGGAUUUUCUUAAUUUCAAUAUUUUUUAAUGUUCAUUUUGUGAAAUAAUAAUGUUCAUUAAAUUUCAUCUCAAUUAUAUAAAAUAAAAUUUUAGUAACAAAAUAUAAAAAUGUUUUCAACUACUAAUAUGAUAGGACAUGAUAUUAUAACAAGCAUGAAAAUUGUGUAUAUAAGACCAAAAACCUAAUUCAUUAUUAAAAAAUGUUAAGAGAAAAAAUAGUAUGAGAAAGAAUUAAACAAUUUUUCAUAAAAAUUAUUGAUUUUUCGGUUAUAACUCCAAUUGAUAUUUUUUUUUCUAAUUAAAAUAAUUAAUAAAAAAUUUUGGAUAUGAAAAAUAUGUUCAAAUAAAAAUAAUAACAAUUUUAAAAUAUCAAAGGAAAAGAUAUUCAAUAUUUUAAAUUUUUUACUUUUAAUAUUCUUCAGAUCAAUAAAUUAUCAAACAUCUUUUUCAAAAAAAAAAAAAUUGAAGAAAAGGAAGACCUUUGUGAAAGGAAUUGGAAAUUUUUUUGUAAUAAAAUGAUUUUAUAGAAAUUUCAUAACCUUGAAAGGAAAAUUUCAUCAUCAAUUUCAAAUUACUCCAAAAUUUAGUCAAUGCAUAUAAAAACAAUAAGAAAAAAAAGACAAAAAUAAAACAUAUUUUGAGAAUCCUUUUGCGGGAGAUGACAAUAUUGCGAAUAAUUUUUGAGAAAAUUAUUUUCCUAAUAUGACCAACCAAUAUCUUCAUCACAACAUACUAUAAUAUUCUUAGAAAAUAAACAAAUUAAAGGAAUUUUCAUUAAAAAUCAAAAGAAAAUUAUAAAACAUCUUCUUAAAAAAAAAAAGUUUUAUAGAAGGAAUUAAAAAAAUUUAUGUAAUAAAAGGAUUUUAUAGAAAUUUUCUAACCUUGAAAGAGAAAUUCUAAAUUUUGGUCAACGCAUAUAAAAACAAUAAGAAAAUAAAGUAAAAACAAAAAACAAAAAACAAAAAACAUAUUUCAAGAAUAGAAAAAAUAUAAAUAGAACAAGAUGAGAUAUUAACCAUAAUACCAAGUAAAAUAAUAAUAAAAAAAAUCAAAAUAUAAGAUUUGAUCAUUUUUAUAAUUAUAAAAAUUUUCAUUCCUAUUUAAAAUUUAAAAAACAAUUCAUUUACAUGAAUAAAUAAAUAAUUAAACUAAUUUUUCAUUGUUAAUUCCAACAUUCCAAACCAAUGCCAAUAUGAUAUGGAAAUUAUUUCAUUUUUCCUUUUGUGGGAGAUGACAAUAUUAAGAAUAACUUUCUAAAAAAUUAUUUUUCAUGAGUGUGAGAAGAGGUAGAAGAAAAUUAUGGUUAGGGUUAUGGAAUGAGAUUUUUUUUUGGAUCGGGAGUAUGUGGAAACAAUGAGUUUUUUAUAUAUUAUUAUUAUUCUCAAAGUGGGCCCGUUAAAUUAUAGUAUUUUAAAAUUUUUAUUUUAUAUGGUGUCACUUUUCAAAAACUGACACUAUAAACUUAAAAUUAAUAUCAUCUAUCUUAAUUAAAAAAAUUUAUAUGAUGUGUCACCUUUAUGGAUUUUAAGUCAUAUGGUGUCUUUAUUUUAAAAGUGACACCAUAAAUUAUUUUUGUAGUAGUGAUUCUUUACUUAGGAUGUUACGGGUUAAGCUAUCGAAUCAACUCUUAGGGUUAAAGGAGUGUUAACGUUCUAAAGAAUUUUUUUAUGUGAUAAAUGACGAAUUUAGCCUCAUUAUAUAUUUAAACUUCUUAUGAAUUAGGAUUUUUUAGAGAGCGUGAUCAUAAUUAAGAAAUUUUUUUGAGAGUUUUACCAUUAUAAUCUUUCUUUUCUUUUGAUUAGUGGAUUCUUAAAUGUUAAUAUAUUUUAUGGACUUAAGAAUCACAUUGAUCAUCGAACCACAUUAAAAAAUUUAUGUUUUUAUUUAUUUUCUGUUAAUGUGUACAUGAUUUGAUUAAAAAGUGUCACCAUGUUCUUUAGCUUGUCUGUCUAACCUCUUGUUUAGGAACUGUUAGAAGAGUGAUCGACCUCCCCAUCUCAUAAAGAACUUCUUUUGAAUCAUUUUCCAGUUUUAUUAAUCACCUUAUUUUUGUUAAUAGUAAUAUUUGCUUUCUGCAUGAAAUUAUGUUCAUUAUUUUCACUGAAUAUGAAAUUAUUUAAGCUAUGUUAUAUAACCAUUACAUUGAAUUUUGCCCAGAUGUCCAUUGGGCAUCUGGACACCAGUGGAACCAUGGCCACUGCAUGUCAGAACAAGCAAAAGUACGUGGUCUAAUGAUAUUUAAUAGGUCGGCUACUAACCACCCAACUCAUUGAAUGCUGAUUGAGACUCUUAUAUGGAACCAUGCAUGGCCACUGCAUAUUCGGUCAAGCAAAAGAAAGUGGUCUAAUGAUAUUUAAUAGGUCGGCUACUAACCAGCCAACUUAUUGAAUGUUGACUGGGACUCUUAUAUAGGUCUAUGUUGACUGAAUAUUAGAAGAAGUGAUGAUAUAUAAGCAUGUUGCCCUAAAACAUGAUCGACUUAUAGGAUAUAUAGUUUGUUAUGCCAAUGAAAGCUUUGAUGCCAACAAUGUUAGUUCAAGAACACAAAGAUAAAACAAUCACACAUACGGUACACGAGGUUUUAACGUGGUUCAGCCAACUAUGCCUACGUCCACAGAUAAGAGAGAAUAAUUCCACUAUACAAUAGAGAAUAUUACAGAGGACAUAAUCAAAUACAACUAUUGGGUUCCCGAAACAUCACAUAUUUCCCCACUCUUUGUAUCUAUACCCUACUACGAGCCAUCUCGCUCCACAGAGUACCUCCCAUUCUUCCUCACAUCUCUAUCCACCUCGUAUAGUUUUUAUAAGCCCAUUUCCAUCUCAUAACUUUUCCCCCUCAUGACCUAGAAUAUUUAUAGAGAUAUUUCCAACAACCUUCCUUAUUCUAUAAGGAAGUCUAUAUUACAAUAAUAUAUCAACCUAGAAGUAUUCUAUAUAAUAUUCUUUAUAAAAAAAGAAUCUAUACUAAUUAGGAAUUUGGGACACGUCCUAACAAUCUCCACCUUGGACCAAAUUCCAUGAAGUUAAUCUCCAAUCUCUCCAUGACACAAAUCUUUUUGUAUCGUAUCACCACGAAAGAGCAAUCGACUCCACCUUCAGUGAAAAUUCCUUUUGUUUUCAUCUUGUGUGCUUUGUGAUCUUUUACUCUUCCAGAAAUCUCAACCCAAGCUCUGAUACCAGUUGAAGGGAAUUAAGUCGAAUUCUCAACCUGUUUUCCCACAGUUCCAGCAUUAUACUUGUUGGCCUGAUUUAGAUUUGCUUCUGUUCUGAUUAGAAUUUCUGGAUUUUGAUCUACCCCAGUUUGAAUUUCUGUCAUUACCUCUGCUUCUUGUCUCAAGGUUUAGGGCAGAACCAAAUCCUGAGGUUUCGCCUGCAUCUCUUCGGCGAAUCUCCUCAGCCAGAAUUAAAUCUCGUAUAUCAUUGUACUUGAGCUUUUCCUUUCCCAUAGAAUUGCUUACUGUCAUCCUCAUUGUCUCCCAACUAUUUGGCAAAGAAGCUAAGACGAUCAGAGCACGAAUCUCAUCAUCAAAAUCAAUUUCUACAUACGACAAUUGAUUUGUAAUUGUAUUAAAUUCAUUCAGAUGUUGUGCUAUUGAUGCAUUUUCUGUCAUCUUCAAAUUGAACAAUUUCUUCAUCAGAUGCACCUUAUUGUUUUCGGACGGCUUUUCAUACAUACCGGACAAAGCCUUCAUCAGAUCUGUUGUGGUCUUCUCUUUUACAACAUUGUGUGCAACAGACCUAGACAAAGUUAACCUAAUAACUCCUAGAACCUAUAUGUCAAGAAGCACCCAUUCCUUAACCUUCAUACUCUCAGGUUUUGUCCCCAAAAGAGGCAGAUGCAAUUUCUUCUCAUAGAGAUAAUCUUCAAUCUGCAUCCUCUAAUACGCAAAGUCUGUGCCAUCAAACUUUUCUAUUCUAGAUGUCUUUCCUGCUUCCUCUGCCAUUGCUCCCACUCAAACCUAAUCCUAGGCUCUGAUACCAGUUGAAGGGAAUUAAGCCGAAUUCCCAACCUGUGAGAAACAAAAAAAAAUAGAGAAAACACACGCCAAAGAAAAACAAUCAACGCACAAGAAAGUCUACGUCCAUGAAGUUGCAGGGAUAUCACUAUUAUCAGGGAAAAAUCCAGAGUACAACAAUUGCGGCUACAAUAUUUUCUCUCUAUAUAUAACACAACAACUACACCACACUAAAAAACCCUAAUUACAAAAGAUGGUUCCACAAUGGGCUAAGCGGGCCCAAAAGCCCAAGCCUUCGCUCCAUGGACUAAGACUCAGUAAAUCUCCCAUUAAAAAACCACGUAAUAUUAUUCGAGUCGGGUCGCCAAACCGGAUCAAACAAAACUAGGCUCCACAAAGCCUGACAUAAACACACAAAGGCAACUACAAUAAUAUUAUACAACAAAUUUUUAACAAAAUCUACUUCAAUUUGAACCUCUCUCCCUUGAGUGUUUCCAUGGUUAAGAACUAGCUACUUGUAUCUCAUACUUGGCCAUGAUUGGUGUGGUUUCCUUGUACCAAAUUGAAUUGGGUUCUUCACUUGUUGCAUAGCUUGAACUUGUACCGGUUUCAUUUGCCUGCUAGAACAUGUUCAUCCCUAUUGAGUACAGAUAAUGAAAUGGUUUUGGCGGGGGCAUGACUUCUACUCCUUCCUCCAACAUCUUUACCAUAGUACUCAUCGGAGGCCUCGAGUCGGGUGAGUCCUGGACACACUAUAGAGCCACCAUAGACAUUCUCUCUGUUUUCUCCCUGUUCUUCUCUUCAAUUCCACAGGCCACAGUCAUUGCUGCUAAAUUCCCUUUCUCAUACUCUUCCCAAACAUGUUUGAAGAACCAAUCCAUGCUAUCAUUAGAACCGACUUUGGCAUUCCUUCUUCUCCCAACUAUCUCAAACAACAACAUCCCAAAGCUAAAAACAUCACAUUUAUUGGUUAUGGGAAGGUUUUUCAGUAAAAAUUCUGGUGCUGAGUAGCCUGGAGUCCCUCUAUAUCCCGAGACUGUCAGGUGAGUGUUGUCCCUGUUACAAAGCUUAGCAAGCCCAAAGUCUGCAACCUUAGGAAAGAAGUUAGCAUCAAGGAGAACGUUACCGGGUUUUAUGUCAUAGUGAGUGAUUCUUUGUACACAUUCUUCAUAUAAGUAAGCUAUGCCCUUUGUUGUCCUAACUGUUAUAUGAUGCAGCUUCUCCCACUCGAUUUCUCUUGCCUCGCUGAAUAAGUACUUGUCUAGGGAUUCGUUUUCCAGGUAUUUGUAGACAAGUGCGCUCAUGAACUGAUCAUAGCAGAAACCAUAGAGCCUGACUAGAUUGAUAUGGUAAGUUCUGCCUAUGGUUCCCACCUCUGCCAUGAACUGUUCUUCAGUUUGUCUGUCCGAAUUCCUAUUCAGGAC